GGCAGGUUGAAGGUUGGGUAACACUAACUGGAGGACCGAACCGACUAAUGUUGAAAAAUUAGCGGAUGACCUGUGGCUGGGGGUGAAAGGCCAAUCAAACCGGGAGAUAGCUGGUUCUCCCCGAAAGCUAUUUAGGUAGCGCCUCGUGAAUUCAUCUCCGGGGGUAGAGCACUGUUUCGGCUAGGGGGCCAUCCCGGCUUACCAACCCGAUGCAAACUGCGAAUACCGGAGAAUGUUAUCACGGGAGACACACGGCGGGUGCUAACGUCCGUCGUGAAGAGGGAAACAACCCAGACCGCCAGCUAAGGUCCCAAAGUCAUGGUUAAGUGGGAAACGAUGUGGGAAGGCCCAGACAGCCAGGAUGUUGGCUUAGAAGCAGCCAUCAUUUAAAGAAAGCGUAAUAGCUCACUGGUCGAGUCGGCCUGCGCGGAAGAUGUAACGGGGCUAAACCAUGCACCGAAGCUGCGGCAGCGACACUGUGUGUUGUUGGGUAGGGGAGCGUUCUGUAAGCCUGUGAAGGUGUGUCGUGAGGC
Molecule: ribosomal RNA, 533 nt
Filed under: Salmonella enterica
Lineage: Bacteria; Pseudomonadati; Pseudomonadota; Gammaproteobacteria; Enterobacterales; Enterobacteriaceae
Also listed under: 1 other name
Description: partial 23S ribosomal RNA
Rfam family: Bacterial large subunit ribosomal RNA
Source: RNAcentral